This 64-nucleotide transfer RNA is filed under the name Phlogotettix sp. EMHAU-2015-Zz052705. RNAcentral describes it as "tRNA-Thr". It matches the Rfam family "tRNA". From Rfam's summary of the family: Transfer RNA (tRNA) molecules are approximately 80 nucleotides in length. Their secondary structure includes four short double-helical elements and three loops (D, anti-codon, and T loops). Further hydrogen bonds mediate the characteristic L-shaped molecular structure. tRNAs have two regions of fundamental functional importance: the anti-codon, which is responsible for specific mRNA codon recognition, and the 3' end, to which the tRNAs corresponding amino acid is attached (by aminoacyl-tRNA synthetases). tRNAs cope with the degeneracy of the genetic code in two manners: having more than one tRNA (with a specific anti-codon) for a particular amino acid; and 'wobble' base-pairing, i.e. permitting non-standard base-pairing at the 3rd anti-codon position. Lineage: Eukaryota; Metazoa; Arthropoda; Insecta; Hemiptera; Cicadellidae. The record is from RNAcentral.
GUUUUAAUAGUUUAAUAAAAAUAAUAGUCUUGUAAACUAAAAUUAGGAUAUAUCCUUUAAAACU